AUUGAACGCUGGCGGCAGGCUUAACACAUGCAAGUCGAGCGGGGUGAUGGUGCUUGCACUAUCACUUAGCGGCGGACGGGUGAGUAAUGCUUAGGAAUCUGCCUAUUAGUUGGGGACAACAUCUCGAAAGGGAUGCUAAUACCGCAUACGUCCUACUGGAGAAAGCAGGGGAUCUCUUGUGACCUUGCGCUAAUAUGUGAGCCUAAGUCGGAUUAGGUAGUUGGUGGGGUACAGGCCUACCAAGGCGACGAUCUGUAGCGGGUCUGAGAGGAGGAUCCGCCACACUGGGACUGAGACACGGCCCAGACUCCUGCGGGAGGCAGCAGUGGGGAAUAUUGGACAAUGGGGGGAACCCUGAUCCAGCCAUGCCGCGUGUGUGAAGAAGGCCUUAUGGUUGUAAAGCACUUUAAGCGAGGAGGAGGCUCUUUUGGUUAAUACCCAAGAUGAGUGGACGUUACUCGCAGAAUAAGCACCGGCUAACUCUGUGUCAGCCGCCGCCGUAA
This 503-nucleotide ribosomal RNA is filed under the name uncultured bacterium. RNAcentral's name for it is "partial 16S ribosomal RNA". It matches the Rfam family "Bacterial small subunit ribosomal RNA", at positions 30 to 523 of the family's 1533-position model. The record is from RNAcentral.